AACGAACGCUGUCGGCAGGCCUAAUACAUGCAAGUCGAACGGAUGUAGCAAUACAUUAGUGGCGCACGGGUGCCUAACGCGUGGGAACAUACCCUUGAGUAAGGAAUAAUGUCUGGAAACGGACACUAAUACCUUAUAAUGACUUCGGUCCAAAGAUUCAUCGCUCAAGGAUUGGCCCGCGUCUGAUUAGCUAGUUGGUGAGGUAACGGCUCACCAAGGCGACGAUCAGUAGCUGGUCUGAGAGGAUGAUCAGCCACACUGGGACUGAGACACGGCCCAGCCUCCUACGGGAGGCAGCAGUAAGGAAUAUUGGACAAUGGGGGAAACCCUGAUCCAGCCAUGCCGCGUGAGUGAAGAAGGCCUUAGGGUUGUAAAGCUCUCUCAAUAGUGAAGAUAAUGACGGUAGCUAUAGAAGAAGCCCCGGCUAAAUUCGUGCCAGCCGCCGCGGUAA
RNAcentral lists this ribosomal RNA (451 nucleotides) under uncultured bacterium. RNAcentral describes it as "partial 16S ribosomal RNA". It matches the Rfam family "Bacterial small subunit ribosomal RNA", at positions 29 to 523 of the family's 1533-position model. The record is from RNAcentral.